CGGGGAAUUUCUCUCUCCUCCUCUCCCUCUCUCUCCUCGCCACCCUCUCCUCCGCCGCCCUCAUCCCCGACGACCUUCGCCUCCCGUCCACCGCCACCUUCCCCUCCUCUCAAGCCGAGCACCUCAUCCGCGCCCUCAACCUCCUUCCCCUCGACGCAUCCCCCGCCCACCCCGGCCCUGAUGUCUCUCCGGGGACCCUGGUGGAGCGCCGAUUCGCCCUCCCCGGUCUUGACGGAGUCUCCAUCGACGAUCUCGGCCACCACGCGGGCUACUACCGCCUCCCCCACACCCACGAUGCCAGCAUGUUCUACUUGUUCUUUGAAUCGAGGAGUAAUAGUAGUGAUCCCGUUGUGAUUUGGUUGACUGGAGGGCCGGGGUGCAGCAGCGAGCUGGCCGUGUUUUAUGAGAACGGUCCGUUUAAGAUUGCGGACAAUUUGUCGCUGGUGUGGAAUGAAUUUGGAUGGGAUAAGGCUUCAAAUUUAAUAUAUGUUGAUCAGCCAACUGGAACUGGUUUUAGCUAUAGCUCGGAUAGGCGUGACAUGCGACACGAUGAAAAUGGUAUUAGUGAUGACCUGUAUGAUUUUCUGCAGGUAUUUUUUACCAAACACCCACAAUUUGCG
This 620-nucleotide unclassified non-coding RNA is filed under the name Hevea brasiliensis (rubber tree). The record is from RNAcentral. Lineage: Eukaryota; Viridiplantae; Streptophyta; Magnoliopsida; Malpighiales; Euphorbiaceae.